CGGAGUGGCGGACGGGUGAGGAAUACAUCGGAAUCUACUCUGUCGUGGGGGAUAACGUAGGGAAACUUACGCUAAUACCGCAUACGACCUACGGGUGAAAGCAGGGGAUCUUCGGACCUUGCGCGAUUGAAUGAGCCGAUGUCGGAUUAGCUAGUCGGCGGGGUAAAGGCCCACCAAGGCGACGAUCCGUAGCUGGUCUGAGAGGAUGAUCAGCCACACUGGAACUGAGACACGGUCCAGACUCCUACGGGAGGCAGCAGGU
Molecule: ribosomal RNA, 262 nt
Filed under: uncultured Stenotrophomonas sp.
Lineage: Bacteria; Pseudomonadati; Pseudomonadota; Gammaproteobacteria; Lysobacterales; Lysobacteraceae
Description: partial 16S ribosomal RNA
Rfam family: Bacterial small subunit ribosomal RNA
Source: RNAcentral